This is a long non-coding RNA of Corapipo altera (White-ruffed manakin), 303 nucleotides long. RefSeq lists it as uncharacterized. The transcript has 2 exons. NCBI's taxonomy places the organism in Eukaryota, Metazoa, Chordata, Aves, Passeriformes, Pipridae. The record is from RefSeq and is a predicted model, not a curated record.
CCUCCCAGGGCAGGAGGAGGUGCCGGCCGAGCGCCCGCCCCGCUGAAGUGUCGGAUGCUUCAUGGGGGUUAGAUGCUUCACAGAUGCGCUGAAGUGGAACCAUGGAAACUCUGAUUUAAGAUGUGUGGAAGACCUCAGAAAAUAGUAAUAUUUGGCCAAAAGUUAAAUGUGAAAAAGAAGAGGAAAUGGGAAGAAAACCAAGAGACUUUCAGAUCAACAGGCAGAGUAUAAGGAUACAUAUUCUAUUUGUUGGUUUUUUUAUUAUUUUCAGCCUCAACAUUUAAUAUUAUUUGUUGUUAACUG